RNAcentral lists this ribosomal RNA (1119 nucleotides) under Streptococcus pneumoniae. RNAcentral describes it as "partial 23S ribosomal RNA". It matches the Rfam family "Bacterial large subunit ribosomal RNA", at positions 1 to 1066 of the family's 2925-position model. The record is from RNAcentral. Lineage: Bacteria; Bacillati; Bacillota; Bacilli; Lactobacillales; Streptococcaceae.
UGUUCGUUAUUGAGGGCGCAUGGUGGAUGCCUUGGCAUGCUGAGCCGAUGAAGGACGUGUAAGGCUGCGUUAAGCCUCGGGGAGUUGUCAAUAAAGCGUUGAUCCGAGGAUGUCCGAAUGGGGAAACCUGGCCCUGGUUAUGUGGGGUUACCCUUCAGUGAAUUCAUAGCUGUUGUGGGGGUUACGCGGGGAAGUGAAACAUCUCAGUACCCGUAGGAGGAGAAAAUAAUAAUGAUUCUGCUAGUAGUGGCGAACGAACGUGGAUGNNNNNNNNNNGCUAAACCGUGUGCAUGUGAUACCUGGUAGGGGUUGUGUGUGCGGUGUUGUGGGGCCUGAUUUUGUGUCAUCUACCAGUGGCACGCCCUUUUUGCAUUGUUGUUAGGUGAAGUGGUUUGGAAUGAUCUGCCGGAGUAGGUGAGAGUCCUGUAGCUGAAGAUGAUGAUGUGGGGGUUGUUGGGUUCCCGAGUAGCAACGGGCUCGUGGAAUCUGUUGUGAAUCUGCCGGGACCACCCGGUAAGCCUAAAUACUCAGUGUGACCGAUAGUGGAUAGUACCGUGAGGGAAUGGUGAAAAGUACCCCGGGAGGGGAGUGAAAUAGUUCCUGAAACCAUGUGCUUACAAUCCGUCAGAGCACCUGUUUGUGUGUGAUGGCGUGCCUUUUGAAGAAUGAGCCUGCGAGUCAGCGGCAUGUCGCGAGGUUAACCCGUGUGGGGUAGCCGUAGGGAAACCGAAUCCUAAUGGGGUGAUAAGUGGCAUGUCCUGGACCCGAAGCGGGGUGAUCUACCCAUGGCCAGUGUGAAGCAGCUGUAAGAGGUUGUGGAGGCGCGAACCCACGUAGGUUGAAAACUGCGGGGAUGAGCUGUGGGUAGGGGUGAAAGGCCAAUCAAACUCCGUGAUAGCUGGUUCUCCCCGAAAUGCAUUUAGGUGCAGCGUCGCAUUUAGCUUGGUGGAGGUAGAGCGACUGGUUGGUUGAGCGGGACUACAAUCUUAGCAAUGUCAGCCAAACUCCGAAUGCCAUCAAUUGUGUUGUGCGGCAGUGAGACUGUGGGGGAUAAGCUUCAUAGUCGAGAGGGAAACAGCCCAGAUCGCCGGUUAAGGCCCCUAAGGGUGUACUAAGUGG